GCAGUCGAGGGGCAGCAGUCCCGAGUAAUCGGGAGCUGGCGACCGGCGCACGGGUGAGUAACGCGUAUGCAACCUACCUUCAACCGGGGGAUAGCUUUCGGAAACGGAAAUUAAUACCCCAUAACAAUAUAAUAUGGCAUCGUAUUAUAUUUAAAACUUCGGUGGUUAAAGAUGGGCAUGCGUAACAUUAGCUAGUUGGUAAGGUAACGGCUUACCAAGGCGACGAUGUUUAGGGGUCCUGAGAGGGUGAUCCCCCACACUGGUACUGAGACACGGACCAGACUCCUACGGGAGGCAGCAGUGAGGAAUAUUGGUCAAUGGACGGAAGUCUGAACCAGCCAUCCCGCGUGCAGGAAGACGGCCCUAUGGGUUGUAAACUGCUUUUCUGAAGGAAGAAUAACCCUGAUUUUUCGGGGGACGACGGUACUUCAGGAAUAAGCAUCGGCUAACUCCGUGCCAGCAGCCGCGGUAAUACGGAGGAUGCAAGCGUUAUCCGGAUUUAUUGGGUUUAAAGGGUGCGUAGGCGGACUGGUAAGUCAGUGGUGAAAUUUUCCGGCUCAACCGGGAGACUGCCGUUGAAACUGUCAGUCUUGAGUCAGGUUGAGGUAGGCGGAAUGUGUAAUGUAGCGGUGAAAUGCUUAGAUAUUACACAGAACACCAAUUGCGUAGGCAGCUUACUGGACCUGCACUGACGCUGAGGCACGAAAGCGUGGGGAGCGAACAGGAUUAGAUACC
RNAcentral lists this ribosomal RNA (735 nucleotides) under uncultured Bacteroidota bacterium. RNAcentral describes it as "bacterial SSU rRNA". It matches the Rfam family "Bacterial small subunit ribosomal RNA", at positions 57 to 786 of the family's 1533-position model. The record is from RNAcentral. Lineage: Bacteria; Pseudomonadati; Bacteroidota.